This 344-nucleotide transfer-messenger RNA is filed under the name Clostridiales bacterium. It matches the Rfam family "transfer-messenger RNA". From Rfam's summary of the family: Bacterial tmRNA, also known as 10Sa RNA or SsrA, is named for its dual tRNA and mRNA-like properties. Its role is to liberate the mRNA from a stalled ribosome. The record is from RNAcentral. Lineage: Bacteria; Bacillati; Bacillota; Clostridia; Eubacteriales. RNAcentral also lists the same sequence under 1 other name.
GGGGAUGAAAGGAUUUCGACGGGAUUUUUGAAGCAGGAUAAGCGAGCAGAGUAGCGAACACUCUUAAAAGUCGCAAUUGUCUAAAAUAAACGACAACAAUUAUUCUUUAAAGGCUGCUUAAUGUAGCCCGUUCUGCCGAAGAGGACUACGGCUUCGGUCUGAGCGUCAUUUAGUAGUGCACGUGAACAGGUACACCGCCUUGUAACCUGUCAUGCAUAACAGGGCUGCCCGAAAACACCUUUGUUAAUUGUGGUGUCAAGGGGAGAGCGAACAAUUGACUACGCUCGUAGAAGGUCGUGUGAAUGAUUUUUCGGACGCGGGUUCGACUCCCGCCAUCUCCACCA